UGUGUACAGUGCAGGCCGAAAGUUUGGUAACACCUUCUCAUUCAAUGCAUUUCCGUCAUUUUCAUGACUAUUUACGUUGUAGAUUCUCACUGAAGGCAUCAAAACUAUGAAUACACACAUAUGGAAUUUUGUACUCAACAACAAAGUAGGAAACAACUCUUAAAUAGGUCUUAUAUUUUAAAUUCCUCAAAGUAGCCCCCCUUUGCUUUUUGAUAAUGCUGCAAACCCUUGGUGUUCUCCAAAUGAGCUUAAUGAAGUAGUCACCUGAAAUGGUUUUCAAUUCACAGGUGUGCCUUGUCAAGGUUAAUUAGUGUAAUUUAUUCCCUUAUUAACAAACAAAGCAAAGGGUGGCUACGUUGAAGAAACUA
Long non-coding RNA from Etheostoma cragini (Arkansas darter), 368 nucleotides. RefSeq lists it as uncharacterized. NCBI's taxonomy places the organism in Eukaryota, Metazoa, Chordata, Actinopteri, Perciformes, Percidae. The transcript is spliced from 3 exons. The record is from RefSeq and is a predicted model, not a curated record.